Molecule: transfer RNA, 84 nt
Filed under: Collinsella sp. CAG:289
Lineage: Bacteria; Bacillati; Actinomycetota; Coriobacteriia; Coriobacteriales; Coriobacteriaceae
Rfam family: tRNA
About the family: Transfer RNA (tRNA) molecules are approximately 80 nucleotides in length. Their secondary structure includes four short double-helical elements and three loops (D, anti-codon, and T loops).
Source: Rfam by way of RNAcentral
GCGGGCGUGGCGGAAUUGGCAGACGCGUAGGCUUCAGGUGCCUAUGGGCUUCGGCUCGUGAAGGUUCAAGUCCUUUCGCCCGCA